AGGAUGAAUGCUGGCGGCGCGCCUAACACAUGCAAGUCGAGCGGAAAGGCCCUUCGGGGUACUCGAGCGGCGGACGGCUGAGUAACGCGUGGGAACAUGCCCCAAAGUGAGGAAUAACUGCCCGAAAGGGUAGCUAAUGCCGCAUAUGAUCUUAGGAUUAAAGGAUUUAUCCGCUUUGGGAGUGGCCCGCGUACGAUUAGGUAGUUGGUGAGGUAAAGGCUCACCAAGCCCACGAUCGUUAACUGGUCUGAGAGGAUGAUCAGUCAGGCUGGAACUGAGACACGGUCCAGACUCCUACGGGAGGCAGCAGUGAGGAAUCUUCCACAAUGGGC
Molecule: ribosomal RNA, 332 nt
Filed under: uncultured bacterium
Lineage: Bacteria
Description: SSU rRNA
Rfam family: Bacterial small subunit ribosomal RNA
Source: RNAcentral